CACUCAAUUGGAAAGAGGAGUGGCGGAUGGGUGAGUAACACGUGGGUAACCUACCCAUCAGAGGGGGAUAACACUUGGAAACAGGUGCUAAUACCGCAUAACAGUUUAUGCCGCAUGGCAUAAGAGUGAAAGGCGCUUUCGGGUGUCGCUGAUGGAUGGACCCGCGGUGCAUUAGCUAGUUGGUGAGGUAACGGCUCACCAAGGCCACGAUGCAUAGCCGACCUGAGAGGGUGAUCGGCCACACUGGGACUGAGACACGGCCCAGACUCCUACGGGAGGCAGCAGUAGGGAAUCUUCGGCAAUGGACGAAAGUCUGACCGAGCAACGCCGCGUGAGUGAAGAAGGUUUUCGGAUCGUAAAACUCUGUUGUUAGAGAAGAACAAGGACGUUAGUAACUGAACGUCCCCUGACGGUAUCUAACCAGAAAGCCACGGCUAACUACGUGCCAGCAGCCGCGGUAAUACGUAGGUGGCAAGCGUUGUCCGGAUUUAUUGGGCGUAAAGCGAGCGCAGGCGGUUUCUUAAGUCUGAUGUGAAAGCCCCCGGCUCAACCGGGGAGGGUCAUUGGAAACUGGGAGACUUGAGUGCAGAAGAGGAGAGUGGAAUUCCAUGUGUAGCGGUGAAAUGCGUAGAUAUAUGGAGGAACACCAGUGGCGAAAGGCGGCUCUCUGGUCUGUAACUGACGCUGAGGCUCGAAAGCGUGGGGGAGCAAACAGGAUUUAGAUAACCCUGGUAGUCCACGCCGUAAACGAUGAGUGCUAAGUGUUGGAGGGUUUCCGCCUUCAGUGCUGCAGCAAACGCAUUAAGCACUCCGCCUGGGGAGUACGACCGCAAGGUUGAAACUCAAAAGGAAUUGACGGGGGCCCGCACAAGCGGUGGAGCAUGUGGUUUAAUUCGAAGCAACGCGAAGAACCUUACCAGGUCUUGACAUCCUUUGACCACUCUAGAGAUAGAGCUUUCCCUUCGGGGACAAAGUGACAGGUGGUGCAUGGUUGUCGUCAGCUCGUGUCGUGAGAUGUUGGGUUAAGUCCCGCAACGAGCGCAACCCUUAUUGUUAGUUGCCAUCAUUUAGUUGGGCACUCUAGCGAGACUGCCCGGUGACAAACCGGAGGAAGGUGGGGAUGACGUCAAAUCAUCAUGCCCCUUAUGACCUGGGCUACACACGUGCUACAAUGGGAAGUACAACGAGUCGCUAGACCGCGAGGUCAUGCAAAUCUCUUAAAGCUUCUCUCAGUUCGGAUUGCAGGCUGCAACUCGCCUGCAUGAAGCCGGAAUCGCUAGUAAUCGCGGAUCAGCACGCCGCGGGAAUACGUUCCCGGGCCUUGUACACACCGCCCGUCACACCACGAGAGUUUGUAACACCCGAAGUCGGUGAGGUAACCUUUUUGGAGCCAGCCGCCUAAGGUGGGAUAGA
This 1413-nucleotide ribosomal RNA is filed under the name Enterococcus faecalis. RNAcentral's name for it is "bacterial SSU rRNA". It matches the Rfam family "Bacterial small subunit ribosomal RNA". The record is from RNAcentral. Lineage: Bacteria; Bacillati; Bacillota; Bacilli; Lactobacillales; Enterococcaceae.